AUUUUGUUAAUUUAAAAUAAAAUAUUUAGUUGCAAACUAAAAAAUAAAUUUUACAAAAUU
This 60-nucleotide transfer RNA is filed under the name Ceraphron sp. MM-2014. RNAcentral's name for it is "tRNA-Cys". The record is from RNAcentral. Lineage: Eukaryota; Metazoa; Arthropoda; Insecta; Hymenoptera; Ceraphronidae.